Non-coding RNA from Gossypium arboreum, 76 nucleotides. Lineage: Eukaryota; Viridiplantae; Streptophyta; Magnoliopsida; Malvales; Malvaceae. The record is from Rfam.
UUGAGCCGGAUGAUGAAAAAUUAUCAUGUCCGGUUCCUUUGGGGGAUGGAUCUAGAAAAAUUCAAUCGAAUCAAAU